UUGAAGAAGACGAUGAGAAGCAGCUUUUGCUUUGCACACCCGAUUUUGGGUCUGUAGCUCAGUUGGUUAGAGCGCACCCCUGAUAAGGGUGAGGUCGGCAGUUCGAAUCUGCCCAGACCCACCAGUUACCUGGUGAAGUUGGUCAGAGCGCGUACGACACCCGGAUACGGGGCCAUAGCUCAGCUGGGAGAGCGCCUGCCUUGCACGCAGGAGGUCAGCGGUUCGAUCCCGCUUGGCUCCACCACUUACUGCUUCUGUUUGAAAGCUUAGAAAUGAGCAUUCCAUCCUGAUUGAAGGGUGCGUGAAUGUUGAUUUCUAGUCUUUGAUUAGAUCGUUCUUUAAAAAUUUGGGUAUGUGAUAGAAAGAAAUAUAGACCGGGCACCUCUUUCACUGGUGCGUGUCCGGGCUAAGGUAAAGUUUGUGAAAUGCAAACUUUCGGCGAAUGUCGUCUUCACAGUAUAACCAGA
Molecule: transfer RNA, 467 nt
Filed under: Pseudomonas syringae pv. actinidiae
Lineage: Bacteria; Pseudomonadati; Pseudomonadota; Gammaproteobacteria; Pseudomonadales; Pseudomonadaceae
Description: partial 16S-23S ribosomal RNA intergenic spacer
Rfam family: tRNA (bases 48-121)
Source: RNAcentral